Molecule: ribosomal RNA, 429 nt
Filed under: Bacteroidota bacterium
Lineage: Bacteria; Pseudomonadati; Bacteroidota
Description: Bacteroidetes bacterium partial 16S ribosomal RNA
Rfam family: Bacterial small subunit ribosomal RNA
Source: RNAcentral
UAGGGAAUCUUCCGCAAUGGACGCAAGUCUGACGGAGCAACGCCGCGUGAGUGAAGAAGGUUUUCGGAUCGUAAAGCUCUGUUGUUAAGGAAGAACGAGUGUGAGAAUGGAAAGUUCAUACUGUGACGGUACUUAACCAGAAAGGGACGGCUAACUACGUGCCAGCAGCCGCGGUAAUACGUAGGUCCCGAGCGUUGUCCGGAUCUAUUGGGCGUAAAGCGAGCGCAGGCGGUUAGAUAAGUCUGAAGUUAAAGGCAGUGGCUCAACCAUUGUAGGCUUUGGAAACCGUUUAACUUGAGUGCAGAAGGGGGGAGUGGAAUUCCAUGUGUAGCGGUGAAAUGCGUAGAUAUAUGGAGGAACACCGGUGGCGAAAGCGGCUCUCUGGUCUGUAGCUGACGCGGAGGCUCGAAAGCGUAGGGAGCGAACAGG